CCAUCACAGGGCACAACCACACAGGCCUCUUGUUUAUUGCUCUGCAGUCCGUCCAACGCAGCGACGCUUUGUUUCCAAUUUCCCGUCGGCGUCUUCUCGGUUCUCGUCCGCACGCGACAACGGCACCGUGGUAACUGGCAACUCCGCGGCUCCUGCAGCCUUGGCCAUGGGUCUGAGGCUCUGAGCCUCUGAGAUCAGGAACUAGUGUUUUGACGUCAGAUACAAGUGGACAGGAAGAGCCUUGUUAGCUUCUUCAAUUCAUUUUUGUAGCAAAAGCAAAAUAUCAGGUAAGGGAUUAAUUAUUUUGAUAACUCAUUAUACUGGUUGUUGCAUAUUCAGAUUUUCUGCACACUCUCUCCACUCUCCUCUUUUGAUCCCAAGAAUUCUUUUGAUGCUUACAAAUUUGAGAGUUUGAUGGAGUUGGCUUAGUCAUACCUAGAAGAUUUUGAUUCAACACAACUAAAAGAUCUUGCUUGUGAGCUUCCUAUUUACAUCGAUAAUGUGAGACUGUUGAAAGAUUUGCCAAGUUGAAUAAUAUUUCUGAGCUUGGUAGGAUGAUGGUGCAAACAAAUAAACAUCUUUCUUUUCCUUUGGUAUAUCACCUACUGAAGCUUGUACUUGUUCUUCCUAUCGCUACUGCGUAAGUGGAGAGGUGCUUUUCGGCAAUGAAAAUUGUGAAAGACGUACUGCGCGAUCGAAUCGGUGAUGAAUUUAUGAAUGAUUGCAUCGUAUGCUUCGUGCAACAAGGAUUUCUGGCUACCAUUCCAAAUGAUGAUAUUAUUGUGCGCUUUCACAAGAUGGAUGGCCAUAAUCAUAGAGAGAAAUUGAAAUUGCAAAGGGAAUACUACUGUAAAACAAUAUACUAUAUAUCAUCGUUUAGUUUUUAUUA
Molecule: long non-coding RNA, 889 nt
Organism: Panicum hallii
Lineage: Eukaryota; Viridiplantae; Streptophyta; Magnoliopsida; Poales; Poaceae
Exons: 2
Source: RefSeq, a predicted model, not a curated record